This 73-nucleotide transfer RNA is filed under the name Deltaproteobacteria bacterium. RNAcentral's name for it is "tRNA-Gln". It matches the Rfam family "tRNA". From Rfam's summary of the family: Transfer RNA (tRNA) molecules are approximately 80 nucleotides in length. Their secondary structure includes four short double-helical elements and three loops (D, anti-codon, and T loops). Further hydrogen bonds mediate the characteristic L-shaped molecular structure. tRNAs have two regions of fundamental functional importance: the anti-codon, which is responsible for specific mRNA codon recognition, and the 3' end, to which the tRNAs corresponding amino acid is attached (by aminoacyl-tRNA synthetases). tRNAs cope with the degeneracy of the genetic code in two manners: having more than one tRNA (with a specific anti-codon) for a particular amino acid; and 'wobble' base-pairing, i.e. permitting non-standard base-pairing at the 3rd anti-codon position. Lineage: Bacteria; Pseudomonadati; Myxococcota; Myxococcia. The record is from RNAcentral.
UGGGGCAUGGUCCAGCUGGAACGGACGCCUGGCUCUGACCCAGGAGACCCAGGUUCGAGCCCUGGUGCCCCAA